This 450-nucleotide ribosomal RNA is filed under the name uncultured Anaerolineaceae bacterium. RNAcentral's name for it is "bacterial SSU rRNA". It matches the Rfam family "Bacterial small subunit ribosomal RNA", at positions 920 to 1382 of the family's 1533-position model. Lineage: Bacteria; Bacillati; Chloroflexota; Anaerolineae; Anaerolineales; Anaerolineaceae. The record is from RNAcentral.
CCCGCACAAGCAGCGGAGCGUGUGGUUUAAUUCGAUGUUACGCGAAAACCUUACCCGGGCUUGACAUGCAGGUAGUAGGGAACCGAGAGGGGACCGACUCUUCGGAGAGCCUGCACAGGUGCUGCAUGGCUGUCGUCAGCUCGUGCCGUGAGGUGUCCGGUUAAGUCCGGUAACGAGCGCAACCCUCGCCAUAUGUUACAAGUGUCAUAUGGGACUGCCGAUAUAAAGUCGGAGGAAGGUGGGGAUGACGUCAAGUCAGCAUGGCCUUUAUGUCCGGGGCUACACACACGCUACAAUGGUCGGUACAAAGAGUUGCCAAGCCGUGAGGCGGAGCUAAUCUCAACAAAACCGGCCUCAGUUCGGAUUGGAGGCUGCAACCCGCCUCCAUGAAGUCGGAGUUGCUAGUAAACGCCGGUCAGCUAUACGGCGUUGAAUACGUUCCCGGGCCUU